UAGGGAAUCUUCCACAAUGGGCGUAAGCCUGAUGGAGCAACGCCGCGUGUGUGAUGAAGGGUUCCGGCUCGUAAAACACUGUUGUAAGAGAAGAAUGACAUUGAGAGUAACUGUUCAAUGUGUGACGGUAUCUUACCAGAAAGGAACGGCUAAAUACGUGCCAG
Molecule: ribosomal RNA, 164 nt
Filed under: uncultured bacterium
Lineage: Bacteria
Description: partial 16S rRNA
Rfam family: Bacterial small subunit ribosomal RNA
Source: RNAcentral